ACUCACUGAAAAGGGCUGUAAGACCUACUUAUGAGCUUCUUUACACAAUUAUAUUUUUCAUCAAAUCAUUCUUAACUGAGAUUUUUCUUUUGUCCCCUGCCAGGAUUUUACAUCUGGCUUAUGGAGAGCUCUUGAACACUUUACAGCUGUCAUCAAGUCAUGAUGUGUGUCCAUUUGAUUCUGAUUUCUGCAGCAAGAUGCAGGUUGUCACGGUGCUGAAGCUGCAGUGAGAGCAGCAGUCCCUGCCCUCCGAUGUCACUGUCAUAUUCUCUGAAAAAUCCUUUCACCGGGAUUUCUUCUUCUGGGAAGCUGAGAAGCCUCAGGUAAAAAGGAAAACAAUAUUAUCUCAUUUGUU
Molecule: long non-coding RNA, 355 nt
Filed under: Junco hyemalis (dark-eyed junco)
Lineage: Eukaryota; Metazoa; Chordata; Aves; Passeriformes; Passerellidae
Description: lncRNA (ENSJHYG00000012487.1)
Source: RNAcentral